This is a long non-coding RNA of Mercenaria mercenaria, 2847 nucleotides long. RefSeq lists it as uncharacterized. The transcript has 3 exons. The record is from RefSeq and is a predicted model, not a curated record. Lineage: Eukaryota; Metazoa; Mollusca; Bivalvia; Venerida; Veneridae.
AGGAAAGAGCUUCUCCGACCACUGAAACAACAAGGAAACCAGAGCAGGAAAAAGUUGCAGCCCCACUUCAGAAUGACGAACAUGCAAACGGUAAAAAGAAAAGGAGAAAGCUUCCCUGUUGCUUUGGAUUCAUUUCGACUUGUCUCGCCGAAAAAAAGCAGAAAAGACGGGACAAGGAGAAGAAAACCAUUGACAGAUACAUCCCACCAAAACUGGUUCAAUACGAACACAAAAAGGCAAAAGGAGGCGAAGCUUUCGUCAUCGAAGUUGACUGCAGACAUAUAAUACAGAAACCGCUUCUGUCACCCAUAAAAUAGACUGCCGGACCGGAUUGGGUGUAAAGAAAGGAAGGAAGACGCUGACUACCCCUUCCGGUAAAAGGCAGGCCUUUCCGUAAGAUACAAACAGGCUGACGCAGAAAGGAACCGUAAUAAUCUUAGCCGUACCGCAACAACGAUCAGACCUGCAUCUACACAAUCAUCAUCCUGCGAAUUUGUGAUCAUUGAAAGCGACCCAGACGCUUUCAAAUUCGACGAAAAUGAUCCAGACGCUUAAAGUUUGACGAUUUCGACUGUUUCUCCUACUAAAUUUUUAUGUCGACCGACUGCUUCCUAUAUAUGGUAGACCUAUACUGGUCACGUGGACAUGAAGUUAUCAAAGAUUUAAAUAAAUAAAACAAAACAUAUUCUUAAACUAUUCAAGUUUUUAUCACUUUGAUAUUAGUUUUAUUUGCAAUCUUUUAAUCAUAUUAAAACAAAUAUUUACUAAGUAAGCAGAAAUGUGUAUUUCAUUUGUAGAUUUUUUUUUUCAAGAAUAAAUAUCAUUCUUUCUUAUUCUCUUCAAAAAACUUUGUUUGACAUAAAAAUAAUUCAAAAUCCAUGCAUAUAAUUCUGACUAAGACAAUCGCCUUUAAUUAAAAAGUAUUUAAAAGAAUCGCGGAUCAUUAAAAACAAGAGGGCCAUGAAGGCCCUGUAUCGCUCACCUGACCUAUUGACCUAAAAUCAUCAAGAUUAACAUUCUGACCAAGUUUCAUUAAGAUAUGGUCAUAAAUGUGGCCUCUAAAGCGUUAAAUAGCUAUUCCUUUGAUUUGACCCUGUAACCUAGUUUUGACCCCACAUGACCAAGAUUCGAACUUGCCCUAAAGAUCACCAAGAUUAACAUUCUGACUAAGUUUUAUGAAGAUAUAGUCAUAAAUGUGGCCUCUAGAGUGUUAACAAGCUUUUCCUUUGAAUGACCUUGUGACCUAGUUUUUGACCCCACCUGACCCAGAUUUAAACUUGACCUAUAGAUAAUCAAGCUUAACAUUCUGAUCAAGUUUCAUUAAGAUAUGGUCAUAAAUGUGGCCUAUACAGUGUAAACUAGCUUUUCCUUUGAUUUGACCCUGUGACCUAGUUUUUGACCCCACAUGACCAAGAUUCAAACUUGACCUAAAGAUCAUCAAGAUUAACAUUCUGACUAAGAUUCAUGAAGAUACAUCAUAAAUGUGGCCUCUGGAGUGUUAACAAGCUUUUCCUUUGAAAUGACCUAGUGACCUAGUUUUUGAUCCCACCUGACCCAGAUUUAAACUUGACCUAAAGAUUAUUAAGAUUAACAUUCUGACUAAGUUUCAUGAAGAUACAGUCAUAAAUGUGGCCUCUAGAGUGUUAACAAGAUUUUCCUUUGAAAUGACCUAGUGACCUAGUUUUUGACCCCAUCUGACCCAGAUUUGAACUUGACCUAUAGAUAAUCAAGAUUAACAUUCUGACUAAGUUUCUUGAAGAUAUAUCAUAAAUGUGGCCUCUACAGUAUUAAAAAGUUUUUUCCUUUGAUUUGACCUGGUGACCUAGUUUUUGACCCCGGAUGACCCAAUAUCAAACUCGUCCAAGACUUUAUUGACGGUAACGUUCUGACCAAGUCUAAUUAAGAUUGGGCCAAAAUUGUGACCUCUAAAUUGUUAACAAGCUUUUCCUUUGAUUUGAUCUGGUGACCUAGUUUUUGACCCCAGGUGACCCAAUAUCAAACUCGUCCAAGAUUUUAUUGAGGGCAACAUUCUGACCAAGUUUCAUUAAGAUUGGGCCAAAUAUGUGACCUCUAGAGUGUUAACAAGCUUUUCCUUUGAUUUGACCUGGUGACCUAGUUUUUGACCCCAGAUGACCCAAUAUCAAACUCGUCCAAGAUUUUAUUGAGAGUAACAUUCUGACCAAGUUUCAUUAAGAUUGGGCCAAAAUUGUGACAUCUAGAUUGUUAACAGUCAAAUUGUUGACGACGACGACGCCGACGCCGACGGACGACGACGGACGACGGACACAGGGCGAUCACAAAAGCUCACUUUGAGCACUUUGUGCUCAGGUGAGCUAAAAAUAAUAUCCCUGUUAUACUAUGAUUUAUCAUAGUUAGAUAUGAUUAGAAGUUAGUAAAAAGAGACAUAAAAAAUAUAAAAGAAUCAUAAAAAUACCAAAAAAAAAUCAUUUUCAUCUACCGAUUCUUGUUAUUUUAAUGGCAUGAAAAGAUAUGAUACACAAAUCAAUAUCAUUUUCUUAAUGAAAUCAGACAUCGGCCAGUUAUGCUGCUUCAAACUGAUUUCUAACACAUCUUUAUUUUAUACAUUACACGUAGUUUUAUAUGCGCAGAGCAAUAACACGCGGAUAUGCAUUUUUUUACCAUUUUCGGCCGCUAGUACAAAUAAUGUCUUUAUCUAAUUACAUAAUUUUAUAGUGAUAUUUUGAAAACAUGUUAAAAUCAGACUUGUAAAAACUUUAAUAAGUAGGAUUAAGGUAAAUUUUUUUUUUUUAUUUUUGACGUUGCCCCUGUUCAUGUGACUCAGCUCAAACAUUUUAUGGCAUAUUUGCACUCUAGUUUACUGUUGUA